GAUGAAGAACGUAGCGAAAUGCGAUACUUGGUGUGAAUUGCAGAAUCCCGUGAACCAUCGAGUCUUUGAACGCAAGUUGCGCCCGAAGCCAUUAGGCCGAGGGCACGCCUGCCUGGGCGUCACACGUCGUUGCCCCCCCAUCUACUCCUUCGGGAUUGCGGGGGGCGGAUGAUGGCCUCCCGUGCGCCUCGUCGCGCGGUUGGCAUAAAUGCCAAGUCCUCGGCGACACACGCCACGACAAUCGGUGGUUGCGAAACCUCGGUUGCCCGUCGUGUGCGGUCGUCGCGCAUCGAGGGCUCGAAAAAAUUGCCGGGCUCCGGCUCGGCUUUCAACGCGACCCCAGGUCAGGCGGGGUUACCCGCUGAAUUUAAGCAUAUCAGCGGAGGA
Molecule: unclassified non-coding RNA, 387 nt
Filed under: soil metagenome
Description: partial contains 5.8S ribosomal RNA, internal transcribed spacer 2, and large subunit ribosomal RNA
Rfam family: 5.8S ribosomal RNA (bases 1-122)
Source: RNAcentral